UUCCCUGCUUCCUAAUCUCUCCUGACAUAAUGUUGAAAGUUAUUACUUAACUGCAUAAAGAAAACCAUCUGUCAAUUAUUUACCUGCUUACAUGUGGGACCAGGUAGCCAGAAGCUGUUACUGCGAGCCAAGGCAAAUGCCCGGCUUCCAAGAAAGCAGAAAUCCAAUUGCAGUCAUCUGAUUCAACCGUCUAUCUAGGUAUGGAAGUAUUUUGCAUUGAGAAGCAUGAUCCUGCCUGGUAAGACUCUCUUCAUCCAAAUCCUGUCUGGAUUGCAACCUUUACUGGCUUCGGUGGACUUUGGAUCAGACAGUUACUAAUUUGUCUUCAAAUCUUUAUACAAAUGACAACGGCAAGUUUACUAUGUGUGUGAAUUCCUUAAUCUUCUGGGAAAAUUUUAAGUUUACAUUGUAAACCAAAGACCUAACGACUAUUAUAUUUCCUGUGCCAGUCACUGGAAACCUGCCUGAAAAGACAUAGAUCCCCGUGGAGCAACAGCCAGAACCUGGAUCCCAAAAUAUCCCGCAAAAGGCUGCAUGAUGGUGGUUUUAAAUCCAGAAGUUACAGGUUCAGUUGUUACCAAGAAACCCAGGACAACACCAUACCAAAAAAGGGCAUUCUUCUCAGUAAAAUGCAAGUUAAAAACCCAACUUCCUCCAAGUCAUUUGACAAAUAAGAAGCUGCAUUUUUUUCACAAGGAUGUCUUGAUUUCUCUACUCAGUGC
Long non-coding RNA from Gymnogyps californianus (California condor), 722 nucleotides. RefSeq lists it as uncharacterized. The transcript is spliced from 5 exons. NCBI's taxonomy places the organism in Eukaryota, Metazoa, Chordata, Aves, Accipitriformes, Cathartidae. The record is from RefSeq and is a predicted model, not a curated record.